RNAcentral lists this ribosomal RNA (1372 nucleotides) under uncultured bacterium. RNAcentral's name for it is "bacterial SSU rRNA". It matches the Rfam family "Bacterial small subunit ribosomal RNA", at positions 28 to 1381 of the family's 1533-position model. The record is from RNAcentral.
GAUGAACGCUGGCGGCGUGCCUAAUACAUGCAAGUCGAGCGAACGGACGAGAAGCUUGCUUCUCUGAUGUUAGCGGCGGACGGGUGAGUAACACGUGGAUAACCUACCUAUAAGACUGGGAUAACUUCGGGAAACCGGAGCUAAUACCGGAUAAUAUUUUGAACCGCAUGGUUCAAAAGUGAAAGACGGUCUUGCUGUCACUUAUAGAUGGAUCCGCGCUGCAUUAGCUAGUUGGUAAGGUAACGGCUUACCAAGGCAACGAUGCAUAGCCGACCUGAGAGGGUGAUCGGCCACACUGGAACUGAGACACGGUCCAGACUCCUACGGGAGGCAGCAGUAGGGAAUCUUCCGCAAUGGGCGAAAGCCUGACGGAGCAACGCCGCGUGAGUGAUGAAGGUCUUCGGAUCGUAAAACUCUGUUAUUAGGGAAGAACAUAUGUGUAAGUAACUGUGCACAUCUUGACGGUACCUAAUCAGAAAGCCACGGCUAACUACGUGCCAGCAGCCGCGGUAAUACGUAGGUGGCAAGCGUUAUCCGGAAUUAUUAGGCGUAAAGCGCGCGUAGGCGGUUUUUUAAGUCUGAUGUGAAAGCCCACGGCUCAACCGUGGAGGGUCAUUGGAAACUGGAAAACUUGAGUGCAGAAGAGGAAAGUGGAAUUCCAUGUGUAGCGGUGAAAUGCGCAGAGAUAUGGAGGAACACCAGUGGCGAAGGCGACUUUCUGGUCUGUAACUGACGCUGAUGUGCGAAAGCGUGGGGAUCAAACAGGAUUAGAUACCCUGGUAGUCCACGCCGUAAACGAUGAGUGCUAAGUGUUAGGGGGUUUCCGCCCCUUAGUGCUGCAGCUAACGCAUUAAGCACUCCGCCUGGGGAGUACGACCGCAAGGUUGAAACUCAAAGGAAUUGACGGGGACCCGCACAAGCGGUGGAGCAUGUGGUUUAAUUCGAAGCAACGCGAAGAACCUUACCAAAUCUUGACAUCCUUUGACAACUCUAGAGAUAGAGCUUUCCCCUUCGGGGGACAAAGUGACAGGUGGUGCAUGGUUGUCGUCAGCUCGUGUCGUGAGAUGUUGGGUUAAGUCCCGCAACGAGCGCAACCCUUAAGCUUAGUUGCCAUCAUUAAGUUGGGCACUCUAAGUUGACUGCCGGUGACAAACCGGAGGAAGGUGGGGAUGACGUCAAAUCAUCAUGCCCCUUAUGAUUUGGGCUACACACGUGCUACAAUGGGCAAUACAAAGGGUAGCGAAACCGCGAGGUCAAGCAAAUCCCAUAAAGUUGUUCUCAGUUCGGAUUGUAGUCUGCAACUCGACUACAUGAAGCUGGAAUCGCUAGUAAUCGUAGAUCAGCAUGCUACGGUGAAUACGUUCCCGGGUCU